AGAGUUUGAUCCUGGCUCAGGACGAACGCUGGCGGCGUGCCUAAUACAUGCAAGUCGAACGCACUCUCGUUUAGAUUGAAGGAGCUUGCUCCUGAUUGAUAAACAUUUGAGUGAGUGGCGGACGGGUGAGUAACACGUGGGUAACCUGCCCUAAAGUGGGGGAUAACAUUUGGAAACAGAUGCUAAUACCGCAUAAAACCUAACACCGCAUGGUGUAGGGUUGAAAGAUGGUUUCGGCUAUCACUUUAGGAUGGACCCGCGGUGCAUUAGUUAGUUGGUGAGGUAAAGGCUCACCAAGACCGUGAUGCAUAGCCGACCUGAGAGGGUAAUCGGCCACACUGGGACUGAGACACGGCCCAGACUCCUACGGGAGGCAGCAGUAGGGAAUCUUCCACAAUGGACGAAAGUCUGAUGGAGCAACGCCGCGUGAGUGAAGAAGGUUUUCGGAUCGUAAAACUCUGUUGUUGGAGAAGAAUGUAUCUGAUAGUAACUGAUCAGGUAGUGACGGUAUCCAACCAGAAAGCCACGGCUAACUACGUGCCAGCAGCCGCGGUAAUACGUAGGUGGCAAGCGUUGUCCGGAUUUAUUGGGCGUAAAGCGAGCGCAGGCGGUUUCUUAAGUCUGAUGUGAAAGCCUUCGGCUCAACCGAAGAAGUGCAUCGGAAACUGGGAAACUUGAGUGCAGAAGAGGACAGUGGAACCCCAUGUGUAGCGGUGAAAUGCGUAGAUAUAUGGAAGAACACCAGUGGCGAAGGCGGCUGUCUGGUCUGUAACUGACGCUGAGGCUCGAAAGCAUGGGUAGCAAACAGGAUUAGAUACCCUGGUAGUCCAUGCCGUAAACGAUGAGUGCUAGGUGUUGGAGGGUUUCCGCCCUUCAGUGCCGCAGCUAACGCAUUAAGCACUCCGCCUGGGGAGUACGACCGCAAGGUUGAAACUCAAAGGAAUUGACGGGGGCCCGCACAAGCGGUGGAGCAUGUGGUUUAAUUCGAAGCAACGCGAAGAACCUUACCAGGUCUUGACAUCCUUUGACCACUCUAGAGAUAGAGCUUUCCCUUCGGGGACAAAGUGACAGGUGGUGCAUGGUUGUCGUCAGCUCGUGUCGUGAGAUGUUGGGUUAAGUCCCGCAACGAGCGCAACCCUUAUUACUAGUUGCCAGCAUUUAGUUGGGCACUCUAGUGAGACUGCCGGUGACAACCCGGAGGAAGGUGGGGACGACGUCAAAUCAUCAUGCCCCUUAUGACCUGGGCUACACACGCGCUACAAUGGAUGGUACAACGAGUUGCGAGACCGCGAGGUUUAGCUAAUCUCUUAAAACCAUUCUCAGUUCGGAUUGUAGGCUGCAACUCGCCUACAUGAAGCCGGAAUCGCUAGUAAUCGCGGAUCAGCAUGCCGCGGUGAAUACGUUCCCGGGCCUUGCACACACCGCCCGUCA
Molecule: ribosomal RNA, 1431 nt
Filed under: uncultured bacterium
Lineage: Bacteria
Description: 16S ribosomal RNA
Rfam family: Bacterial small subunit ribosomal RNA
Source: RNAcentral